AGGGAGAAUCUGAGUAGGCGAAAGUGGACCAAAUCGAAACCUAGUACACCGAGACUGUAAUGCUGGAAUGAUCUUGCUAAGGUAGACGACGUCGCACAGUCGCCGGCCCCGGUAACCCGAGUAAAUAUCGCGGACAUACUUAACACUCGGGCCAAGGUUUCGAGUGUUUCCUGAAGAAAUUAGCCGGAACGAGUCGGUGGAAAAUGGCGGCCGCCUGCCGACGCGCGAUAACCUCUUCGCCGGACGACUCGGAGCCUAUCGUGGGGGACUUGCGAAACCCAAGUGGAAACGGCGGAUGGACGCUUGGCGACCUCGGCGCGAAUCGUCCGCGGCAUAUCCACCGUUAUUUUCCCGGCCGGCGCGGAACGUGCGUGGGAUUUUUCUGAAAGGACGGGCCCGGGUGCACUUUCGCCGAAGCUCGUCCGAAUCCUGGGGGAAGGACGAAGGUCGGCACGGCAGGAACGGACUUAUCGACGGCAGGACUCGUCAGGACUCCCUUACGCAUCGGCGAGAGGCAUUCCAUCGGUAAAGGUUCAUACCGAGCCAGGAUAAGGCUUUCCUCGAGGAAUCGCUGCGUCGAAGGACCUCGACUCCUUACCGCGCGAGUUCACCGACGACGUGGCACACUUGAUCAUUUUUCUCACGGCUCGCAAGAAGUUCGAGGUCCACGGGGGUUUCCGGAGCAGGUUUCGGAAAAUGGCGAGAAACCGCAACGUCGGUUGGGGCGCGACUGAAAGGAAAAUUUGGAGGACAACGAGGCGGAAUAACGACCCCCUAUUGAAGGCACUCGUAAAUUUCCUCGGCAGGGUGGCGGGACUCCCUCGACCGUGGAAGGACCGGCGAACCAGGAACCCGCCGGGACGACGACGAAACCGCAGAUCCGGAGUUACAGGCCACGAGCGACCCGGUGGAUCGCCGAAGGCGGAGGGCAAACACCGAGGGCGUUCUUCCGACCAAAGCUGGUAGCGCCGAGACUGCUCCGGUCUGUGAAAAGGGGAAGAAGGGAAAGCUGCAGGAUCGAGAGGUCCAGGGAGACGACGAGGAAGCGAAGGAAGGGAGGAUGGAGACCAUCCGAGGCGAUCGAUCGAACAGGCCGCCCCCAAUGGUCGCGAUAACUCGCGAGGGCGCGUAUCAGGGAUCGCGAUAACCACCUCGAACUUCCACGAACCACUCGCUGCGGAGAGGCUUCCUUAUGUCGUUCUCGGAAGGAGGACUCGAGAGAGGAAGAGAGAGGGCAAGACCCCUCGAACCCUCGGCUGUAACGAGCCUCGCCGGACCUGUUCUGCCGAUCGUGUCGUGAUAACGCUGACGCGGAUAAUUCGAAGCUCCGGGCCCAACGGGACGGACGUAACCUCGCCCUGAUCCUCGACCGACUCUCCGCUCUCGUGAAUCCCGAUUCCCGUUUUUCCCCUCUGUUCGCGGCACACCAUUUACCAUUUACCAUUUACCUUUUUCGCUGCGCCCACGUGUACCCGCGGGAACGGGACUUGAAAUAGUGCUUUUUGACUCGACAGCCGGUUAAAAUCUUCCUCAAGGAAAAUUGCUUCGAGGGAGAGAUAACCCGAUCGCCGCGAUAGAUACGGUCUUAAUCGAAUUUCUGAUUAAUUAUCCUCGGGAUGCUCCAUCAUCGAAUUACGUGACCAGGGUGCUUCGCCUUCCUGCAUGUAGGCAAAAGUGCUUUCGUGACGUUCGCCUUAUCGGGCCGCGUCAUGAAUCCCGAUUUCCACGAGAAAUCGAAGCAUCUUCGAGUGGAGCCCGGUGACACGGUCGGUGAUAAUUCCGAUAACGAGGACAAAGCUUUAGUGUGCGGGGACGAUACGGGGGAGGACAUCGAUUCGUUGUAGUCGAUUAUCUGCUGCGAGAAAAUAAGGAAGCGGAUCAAGGGGAGACUUACUUCGAGGCCUCCGCACAACGGAUGCCUUUUUCGCGUUAUCGGAGGCAUUUAAUUGAUAUUGGGGAUAACGCCGCGACAUCUAAUCGCAGAUCCGAACCGGAGCCAAACAAGGCUCGAGCAAUCGGCGUUAUCGCGUGAUCGAUCCCCAGGAGAUCCUCUCGAUAUGCGGAAUCGAUCGGUCGAUCGAUCGCUUAUCGGCCGCGUUCCUUUUUCUCUCCCUCGGUUAUGUCGAUGUCGUCAGGUUGCACUCAUUGCGCGUGUACUCGAGUACUCUAAUACAUGACGUUAGGGUUCACGGAUCGAUACCUUGAUCCGUGAUAUCCGCGUGUCAUCUCGAGAACCGGUAGACGAAUUACGUUUAAUUCAUGCCUCUCGGUGUGGCCGAUCACGCAUUAGAAAUAUAUUACCCUGUCUCGACAAGAUCAAAAGGUGGCGGAUCGCGCUCACGGGGAAAAAAGAAGUUGACCCCGUUAUCGUUGCGCGCACUUUGCAGCUUCGUUGCAACGAAGGUUCCUAGUGGUGUCGUAACGUCGGAAUGUCCAUGUGAUUUUUUAGCCGAAACUUUAUGUAACGCUAUGUAGAGAAAUUCCGUGGCAGGUCGUGCGGAAGAACGGGGGAUAAAUCGUUAUCCCCGGUUCCGCGGGUUUCACUUCCGCUCGCGUUAACGGACCACCUUGAUAAGAGAUGGCUCGCGUUAAUUUCGGCUUAUCAUUUGCGAAAGUCGCAGAAUUCUCGCAAAAUCUACAUGUCUGACGGACUAAUUUAUUCAUAUCCUCUAAUUAAGUAUUUCUGGAGCGUUUCCGAGGUACACGCGUUCGUGUUCGUCCGACACAAUAUGCUCCAUAUCGCGUAAGCUGCGCGUCGUUAGCUCGGAUAUAUAUUCCCGGAUCACCGGAAUAGAAAUAACGAGAGGCACUUUAUAACGCAUCCAAGUGUCGGCCGAGCUGAAUGACUUAAUAACAAAGAUAUUGCGAACGGGCAACGAUAUUCGAUUAUAGUCACUCGCCGAGUUCGUUGAACUCGCGAUAAACGUUGCGCUGCUUCCUGUUUAUCCGCGUAAACUUCGAGCAAUCACCGUCAUCUAUCGUUUCCUGGACCGUCACGCGCAUGCGCCAAAACCUGAAAAUAAUGUAUGUAAUAUCUGUAACCAAUGUGGAAUAAAUAG
Long non-coding RNA from Orussus abietinus, 3059 nucleotides. RefSeq lists it as uncharacterized. The record is from RefSeq and is a predicted model, not a curated record. Lineage: Eukaryota; Metazoa; Arthropoda; Insecta; Hymenoptera; Orussidae. The transcript has 8 exons.